CAGAUUUCCGUCCCAUUCUCACCAACAAUAAAACAACUACCACAGCUGAGGGUAUGAAGACAAGGAUGGAAAGAAGAGCCACAGAGGAAAGCAUGGUGCCAAAACCUAAAGAGGGAAGAGAAAAGGCAAAAGAAAGGUAUUUGCUAUAUAGUACACAAGAUUUCUGGCCACCUGAAGUUAAAAUUUAUUAAGGUUGAUGGAGAAACUAUAACAAUAUUUAAAGAAAAAACCACCAGGUUCCAGAUGAUACCAUGAUGCCUACCUGACUUUCCUGGGCAGAUGACCCUACCAUGUGCCUUCCCAGAUCCCUGCCCCACUAGGGCUGGGAGUAUGGAUCAACCUGUCAAUGACCAUGUUCUGCAGAGAAGCAAUUACAGAAGCCAGACCUUCCACCUUCUGCAUCCCAUAAUGACCCUGAGUCCAUACUCCCAGAGAGAUAAAGAAUAGGAAAGCUAUCAAGGGAGGGGAUUGGAUAUGGACCUCUGGGGGUGAGCAUUGUGUGGAAAUGUACCCUUCUUAUCCUAUAGUCUUGUCAAUAUUUCCAUUUUAUAAA
This is a long non-coding RNA of Erinaceus europaeus (western European hedgehog), 553 nucleotides long. RefSeq lists it as uncharacterized. Lineage: Eukaryota; Metazoa; Chordata; Mammalia; Eulipotyphla; Erinaceidae. The transcript is spliced from 3 exons. The record is from RefSeq and is a predicted model, not a curated record.